Molecule: ribosomal RNA, 253 nt
Filed under: uncultured bacterium
Lineage: Bacteria
Description: partial 16S ribosomal RNA
Rfam family: Bacterial small subunit ribosomal RNA
Source: RNAcentral
UACGUAGGGUGCAAGCGUUAAUCGGAAUUACUGGGCGUAAAGCGUGCGCAGGCGGUUCGUUGUGUCGGCGGUGAAAGCCCCGGGCUUAACCUGGGAAUGGCCGUUGAAACUGGCGAACUGGAGUGUGGCAGAGGGGGGUGGAAUUCCGCGUGUAGCAGUGAAAUGCGUAGAGAUGCGGAGGAACACCGAUGGCGAAAGCAGCCCCCUGGGCUAACACUGACGCUCAGGCACGAAAGCGUGGGGAGCAAACAGG